UCCGUCGAUCCUAAUCUGAUUCCAAUCACUCCCAGUCAGUAAAUUCAUUAUUUUUUCUAUGAAGUGGCAAUUCAUAAUUAAUUUUUAGGGUUCAGAUUAAUUUCAGUUUAUUCUGCUUCCUUGGACCAUCCGGCUCGUCUCCAACGAGCGUCCAACCAUAUUGUCGAUGGUCGACACGUGGGAUCCAAUAAAUCCGACGGCUCAGCGACUUCUACGAUGCGUCUGUUAUUCCGAGGGUAAAUUCUCAGAAAAUCUAUUGCUUCCACGGCCGCCGGAAAAGCAGUACACAAGACCGUCUCUUACUGGGUUGAUGAUCUCGUCGUCGGAUAAUGUAAAUUGAAGCAUACCUGAAUGGAUUAGAAAUCGAAGCAUAAUUUGUACGGAAGGUUUCAUUUCCAUCUUGUGUUGUUUCUUUGAUUCGAGUUUAGUGUAUCUUUGGUGUUGGUUUGAAGUUUGAUGGUUCAGUUGAUAAAUACGGGUAAUCUCCGAUCGGAAUCAGAGAUAGCAUGUGGGAAUAAGUUGCCGGUGAAAUUGGAGAUUGAAGAUCCCUUGGAUGAAGAGCACGGACCUCUCAACAAGCGAUCCAAGCUCUUACCUUCUCGUCAGCAGAAGAGAGAAAGGAGGGAGAAGAAGAAGAUGUGAAACUCCGAAUCAGAUCAAAAACCUCUACGUUUUGGGGUGGUAUUUUUAGACCCUAGAUCCAAGUACUGCAAGUUAAUGCAAUUCCUCAAACCGUCUGCAAUGGUUCCGUUGGAAGAGGAAGGUGAAGGACUCCGGUGCCGCUGGAGGAAGGUUUCUGUCGUUCAUCGCCUCUGCAAUCGUUCAGCAAAAGGAGAGGCAGGAGGAGAGACAGGUGACGAGCCGUCGGAUUUUUUGGAAUCCACAUGUCGAUCGGUGAAAUUGUUGAACGCUCAUUGGACCAUCAGUCGUUGGAAACGAGCCGGAUCCAUGCUUGUGUGAGAAUAGUCAACACCUUUCAUAUUUUCUGUCUUGUUCCUAUCAUCAGGAGUUGUGAUAAAAAAAUAAUAAAAUAAAAGAAUCUCUGCACCAACUAAA
Long non-coding RNA from Macadamia integrifolia, 1056 nucleotides. RefSeq lists it as uncharacterized. NCBI's taxonomy places the organism in Eukaryota, Viridiplantae, Streptophyta, Magnoliopsida, Proteales, Proteaceae. The transcript is spliced from 2 exons. The record is from RefSeq and is a predicted model, not a curated record.